This 1736-nucleotide ribosomal RNA is filed under the name uncultured Neocallimastigales. Its description in RNAcentral is "partial large subunit ribosomal RNA". The record is from RNAcentral. Lineage: Eukaryota; Fungi; Neocallimastigomycota; Neocallimastigomycetes; Neocallimastigales.
UAUCUCUGUAGAGUCUGCAUAUCAAUAAGCGGAGGAAAAGAAAUCAUCCUAACGGGGGUUAACAUUGGUGAUUUUGGCGAAUCUACGGGCGAAACUUGCCUGCAACUAUUACAAGCUUUAGACCAAGUUGAGGGCAUCGAACGAUUUAGAAUUUCAUCAAUAGAACCCAACCUUUUAACGGACGAAAUCAUUGAUUUUGUCGCAUCAAGCAAACGAUUUGCUCCUCACUUUCACAUUCCGUUGCAAGCCGGUAGUGAUGCAGUGCUAACGCUUAUGCACCGUCGUUACAACACAGACCUAUUCGCACACAAAAUUCAGUUGAUAAAGCAAAAAAUGCCUCAUGCUUUUAUCGGUGUGGACGUUAUCGUGGGCAUGCGUGGCGAAACCGACGAAUUAUUUGAACAAUCGUACCAAUUUAUUGCAUCGCUACCCAUUAGCGAGUUACACGUAUUUAGUUACUCGGAACGCACAGGAACAGCAGCUUUGCGCAUACCUUACAAGGUUUCGCCUGCCAUCAAAAAAGAGCGCAGCCAUCGGUUGUUAGCCUUAUCGGACGCUAAAAAACAAGCCUUUUACCAAAGCCAACUAGGCACAUGGCGCCGUGUUUUAUGGGAAUCGACCAAAAAGAAUGGCUACAUGAGCGGAUUUACCGAAAAUUACAUCAAGGUAAAACAACCCUACCAAGCAAAUUUAGUCAAUACAUUAACCGAUCAUACCCUAACCCAAGAUAUGUUGGAUUAUGAAAUUUGAGUUACUACAUACCGACCCUAAAAGCAACGCCCGCGCUGGCAUUGUAACCACCGAUCACGGCAUCAUCCAGACUCCUAUUUUUAUGCCAGUAGGCACUGUGGGUUCUGUAAAAGGUGUUCAUCAACGUGAGUUAAAAGAGGACGUCAAAGCACAAAUUAUUUUGGGCAACACCUACCAUUUGUACCUUCGCCCUGGCACCGACAUUUUACGCCAAGCAGGAGGCCUGCAUCGUUUCAACGGCUGGGACAAACCCAUCCUUACCGAUAGCGGUGGUUUUCAGGUAUUUUCAUUAUCGGGUACUCGUAAAUUAAAAGAAGAGGGUGUAACAUUCCGUUCGCACAUUGAUGGUUCAAAACACCUCUUUACGCCCGAGAAUGUAGUGGACAUUCAACGACUUAUCGGGGCUGAUAUUACCAUGGCUUUAGACGAAUGUACUCCAGGCGAUGCUCCCUACGAUUACGCAAAAAAAUCCAUGGAGAUGACCCAUCGUUGGCUAAAACGUGGUCUCAAACGUUUUGACGAAACUGAGCCUCUAUACGGCUACGGUCAAACCUUUUUCCCCAUCGUCCAAGGGUGCGUUUAUCCCGAACUACGCAAACAAUCUGCCGAAUAUAUCGCCGAACAAAAUCGCGAAGGUAACGCCAUUGGCGGAUUGGCGGUGGGCGAGCCUACCGAAAAAAUGUACGAAAUGAUUGAGGUUGUCAACGAGAUUUUACCCAAGGACAAACCUCGUUACCUUAUGGGCGUAGGCACUCCUGCUAGUAUUUUAGAGGCCAUCGAACGUGGUGUUGACAUGUUUGACUGCGUUAUGCCUACCCGAAAUGGACGCAACGGCAUGCUCUUUACCUUGCAAGGUACCAUCAACAUGCACAACAAAAAAUGGGCAAACGAUUUUUCGCCUAUCGACCCAGAUGGCACAGCAUACGUUGACACGGCUUACAGCAAGGCAUACCUACGCUUAGGAUGUUGACUGAUAUGUAGUCGUA